GAUUCGUUAGCUCAGCUGGUAGAGCAUCUGCCUUUUAAGCAGAGGGUCCCGAGUUCGAACCUCGGACGAAUCA
Molecule: transfer RNA, 73 nt
Filed under: Bacteroidota bacterium
Lineage: Bacteria; Pseudomonadati; Bacteroidota
Also listed under: 2 other names
Description: Bacteroidetes bacterium tRNA-Lys
Rfam family: tRNA
About the family: Transfer RNA (tRNA) molecules are approximately 80 nucleotides in length. Their secondary structure includes four short double-helical elements and three loops (D, anti-codon, and T loops). Further hydrogen bonds mediate the characteristic L-shaped molecular structure. tRNAs have two regions of fundamental functional importance: the anti-codon, which is responsible for specific mRNA codon recognition, and the 3' end, to which the tRNAs corresponding amino acid is attached (by aminoacyl-tRNA synthetases). tRNAs cope with the degeneracy of the genetic code in two manners: having more than one tRNA (with a specific anti-codon) for a particular amino acid; and 'wobble' base-pairing, i.e. permitting non-standard base-pairing at the 3rd anti-codon position.
Source: RNAcentral